AACGAACGCUGGCGGCAGGCCUAACACAUGCAAGUCGAGCGAGGACUUCGGUCCUAGCGGCGGACGGGUGAGUAACGCGUGGGAACGUACCCUUUGCUUCGGAAUAGCCCUGGGAAACUGGGAGUAAUACCGGAUGAGCCCUUUGGGGGAAAGAUUUAUCGGCGAAGGAUCGGCCCGCGUUGGAUUAGGUAGUUGGUGGGGUAAUGGCCUACCAAGCCGACGAUCCAUAGCUGGUUUGAGAGGAUGAUCAGCCACACUGGGACUGAGACACGGCCCAGACUCCUACGGGAGGCAGCAGUGGGGAAUCUUAGACAAUGGGGGAAACCCUGAUCUAGCCAUGCCGCGUGAGCGAUGAAGGCCUUAGGGUUGUAAAGCUCUUUCAGCUGGGAAGAUAAUGACGGUACCAGCAGAAGAAGCCCCGGCUAACUCCGUG
This 433-nucleotide ribosomal RNA is filed under the name uncultured bacterium. Its description in RNAcentral is "partial 16S ribosomal RNA". It matches the Rfam family "Bacterial small subunit ribosomal RNA", at positions 29 to 507 of the family's 1533-position model. The record is from RNAcentral.